This 429-nucleotide ribosomal RNA is filed under the name Chloroflexota bacterium. RNAcentral's name for it is "Chloroflexi bacterium partial 16S ribosomal RNA". It matches the Rfam family "Bacterial small subunit ribosomal RNA", at positions 355 to 776 of the family's 1533-position model. Lineage: Bacteria; Bacillati; Chloroflexota. The record is from RNAcentral.
UGGGGAAUAUUGCACAAUGGGCGCAAUCCUGAUGCAGCCAUGCCGCGUGUAUGAAGAAGGCCUUCGGGUUGUAAAGUACUUUCAGUCGGGAGGAAGGUGGUAAGGUUAAUAACCUUAUCAUUUGACGUUACCGACAGAAGAAGCACCGGCUAACUCUGUGCCAGCAGCCGCGGUAAUACGGAGGGUGCAAGCGUUAAUCGGAAUUACUGGGUGUAAAGCGCACGCAGGCGUUCUGUCAAGUCGGAUGUGAAAUCACCGAGCUCCACCUGGGAAAUGCAUUCGAAACUAGCAGGCUAGAGUCUUGUAGAGGGGGGUAGAAUACCAGGUGGAGCGGUGAAAUGCGUAGAGAUCAGGAGGAAUACCGGUGGCGAAGGCGGCCCCCUGGACAAAGACUGACGCUCAGGUGCGAAAGCGUGGGGAGCAAACAGG